UCCUCGAUAGCUCAAUGGUAGAGCACCCGGCUGUUAACCGGGUGGUUGUUGGUUCGAGUCCAACUCGGGGAGCCA
RNAcentral lists this transfer RNA (75 nucleotides) under Candidatus Formimonas warabiya. Its description in RNAcentral is "Peptococcaceae bacterium DCMF tRNA-Asn". It matches the Rfam family "tRNA". From Rfam's summary of the family: Transfer RNA (tRNA) molecules are approximately 80 nucleotides in length. Their secondary structure includes four short double-helical elements and three loops (D, anti-codon, and T loops). Lineage: Bacteria; Bacillati; Bacillota; Clostridia; Eubacteriales; Peptococcaceae. RNAcentral also lists the same sequence under 1 other name. The record is from RNAcentral.